Long non-coding RNA from Stylophora pistillata, 229 nucleotides. The record is from RefSeq and is a predicted model, not a curated record. NCBI's taxonomy places the organism in Eukaryota, Metazoa, Cnidaria, Anthozoa, Scleractinia, Pocilloporidae.
CUUUGAUCGUGCCUUCUCUUUAUUGUACGUACAGGUCAGAUUAGAAGCUAGGGAGUUUGAAUCAUUUGUUGAUGACAUAGUCCCAAAUUCAAGUCCACUUGAGGGCGGCGCGAGUUUUAUCUUGGAUAUGAGUGAAGCCCUACCUCCUGAUAUAGAGUCCGGUUUCGCCUUCUUUGGAAAUGUUCACGUUGAAGUAAACAGAAAUGGACCGAUACUGACGGGGAUAGUU